Molecule: ribosomal RNA, 492 nt
Filed under: Triticum aestivum (bread wheat)
Lineage: Eukaryota; Viridiplantae; Streptophyta; Magnoliopsida; Poales; Poaceae
Description: partial small subunit ribosomal RNA
Source: RNAcentral
AUGGGCUGCUUCCAGGCGGGAAAGAGUGGCCCACGCGGGAAGCUUUCGCGGGAAAUAUUGGGCUCGCGCGCGAGUGCGAACAGCUCCGAUCUGUGCCCCUCCUCGCCGGGCUCAGCUCUCCCUCCAACUCUGGCGCAACAGCAAGGUGUGGCUCCCGUUCUCAUCUCACUUCUACCCCGGCCUCCUCUGAAUUUUCUUCUACCCCUCCUAAUACUCUGUUUCUUCCUGCAUUUGUUGCUGCAGCAGCGAGGUGUCCCUGCUCUGAUGGAUCCUAGGAGAAGAGCUACAUCAGAUGAUCCAGUUUGGAAGUAUGGGUUCUGGCCAGAUUUAGAGAGGAAAGAUUUACUCCAGUGUACAUUGUGUGGCAAGAUAGUCCAUGCUGGAGUGAGAAGGCUGAAGCAGCACCUUUCUUGGGGUUGUAGUGAUGCAGAUAUGUGUCCCGAGGCAUCUAUGGAGAUUAGGAUAGAGAUGCGCAAAUCCUUAAAACACUAG